CGAAAGCCUGACGGAGCAAUACCGCGUGAGGGAGGAAGGCUCUUGGGUCGUAAACCUCUUUUCUCAGGGAAGAAUGACGGUACCUGAGGAAUAAGCAUCGGCUAACUCCGUGCCAGCAGCCGCGGUAAUACGGAGGAUGCAAGCGUUAUCCGGAAUGAUUGGGCGUAAAGGGUCCGCAGGUGGCGAUGUAAGUCUGCUGUUAAAGCGCGAGGCUUAACCUCGUACAGGCAGUGGAAACUGAGCGACUAGAGUAUGGUAGGGGUAGCGGGAAUUCCCAGUGUAGCGGUGAAAUGCGUAGAUAUUGGGAAGAACACCAGCGGCGAAAGCGCGCUACUGGGCCAUUACUGACACUCAUGGACGAAAGCUAGGGGAGCGAAAGGGAUU
RNAcentral lists this ribosomal RNA (384 nucleotides) under uncultured bacterium. RNAcentral's name for it is "bacterial SSU rRNA". It matches the Rfam family "Bacterial small subunit ribosomal RNA", at positions 376 to 779 of the family's 1533-position model. The record is from RNAcentral.